This 56-nucleotide transfer RNA is filed under the name Perkinsus marinus ATCC 50983. It matches the Rfam family "tRNA", at positions 1 to 55 of the family's 71-position model. Rfam says of the family: Transfer RNA (tRNA) molecules are approximately 80 nucleotides in length. Their secondary structure includes four short double-helical elements and three loops (D, anti-codon, and T loops). Further hydrogen bonds mediate the characteristic L-shaped molecular structure. tRNAs have two regions of fundamental functional importance: the anti-codon, which is responsible for specific mRNA codon recognition, and the 3' end, to which the tRNAs corresponding amino acid is attached (by aminoacyl-tRNA synthetases). tRNAs cope with the degeneracy of the genetic code in two manners: having more than one tRNA (with a specific anti-codon) for a particular amino acid; and 'wobble' base-pairing, i.e. permitting non-standard base-pairing at the 3rd anti-codon position. Lineage: Eukaryota; Perkinsozoa; Perkinsida; Perkinsidae. The record is from Rfam by way of RNAcentral.
GGGUGUGUAGCUCAGUGGUAGAGCGGCUGACUGCAGAUCAGCAGGUUCUCGGUUCA